UUUUUUUUGUGUUCAGUUUUGUUUCAAAAUAAAAAAUAAUCACACAUCAUUGUUUAGAGAGACAAUCUACAACAGGAGAUACAAAAAAAAUAGUUGCCCAGGCAACAAGCACACACACAGGUUUCUGUUAGAACUAUACACAUUAUGGUUACAGAAGAUGCUCCUAUUCAGAUACACAAGGCUCGCCACUUCAAAAUGUACACAUGCCGCUGCCCACCGCAGUAGUCCUGGUUACGGACGGCGAGACAGGCGACGCCCGGCCUUUACCGGGGGACAUUAUGAUACAUCACUUUUACAGGACUAUUAUUAAAGGUACAAACAAAAAAAGCAGACCACGCUGCUGCCGUCUUUUGUACAACCCACGGUUUCACUGUACCCUGAGGAGAGCAGAGGGGUUCGAGGUAGACUCAGCCAUAUGACAUGGUAACACAGCGGGAGCUACUUCCUGCUUCCAGACAUCAGUAACAACACAAGUCAUAUAUUAUAUCCCGAGACCACCACUGACCGCUCUUCCCAAUGUGGGCGUCACGCCUCAAGAGAAGAACCAAUAGUGGUAGUCUUGGCAGAUCGUUGUUGAUGUCUACAAGCCGGGAAGUCGCCCCGGUGUGUUACCAUGUCAUAUCACUGAGUCAACCUUUAAACUCAUCGCCCCCCACCCCAUCCAUUACCCUUAGACAAGGGGAAAGCAUUCCUAUAAAAUAUCUAAAAAUACAAAAACACAAGCAGACUGCUAACAGUGUGUCCUGUGGUGGCGGUUACAACCCCCAAACUACACUGUAAACAUCUCGCGUGUGUUCUGUAGCGUGUGUUCUGUAGCGUGUGUUCUGUAGCGUGUGUUCUGUAGCGUGUGUUCUGUAGCGUGUGUUCUGUAAGGUGUGUUCUGUAGCGUGUGUUCUGUAGCGUGUGUUCUGUAAGGUGUGUUCUGUAGCGUGUGUUCUGUAAGGUGUGUUCUGUAGCGUGUGUUCUGUAACGUGUGUUCUGUAGCGUGUGUUCUGUAGCGUGUGUUCUGUAGCGUGUGUUCUGUAAGGUGUGUUCUGUAGCGUGUGUUCUGUAGCGUGUGUUCUGUAAGGUGUGUUCUGUAGCGUGUGUUCUGUAGCGUGUGUUCUGUAGCGUGUGUUCUGUAGCGUGUGUUCUGUAAGCGUGUGUUCUGUAGCGUGUGUUCUGUAGCGUGUGUUCUGUAGCGUGUGUUCUGUAGCGUGUGUUCUGUGUUCUGUAGCGUGUGUUCUGUAGCGUGUGUUCUGUAAGGUGUGUUCUGUAGCGUGUGUUCUGUAGCGUGUGUUCUGUAGCGUGUGUUCUGUAGCGUGUGUUCUGUAGCGUGUGUUCUGUAGCGUGUGUUCUGUAGCGUGUGUUCUGUAGCGUGUGUUCUGUAGCGUGUGUUCUGUAGCGUGUGUUCUGUAGCGUGUGUUCUGUAAGGUGUGUUCUGUAAGGUGUGUUCUGUAGCGUGUGUUCUGUAGCGUGUGUUCUGUAACGUGUGUUCUGUAGCGUGUGUUCUGUAACGUGUGUUCUGUAACGUGUGUUCUGUAACGUGUGUUCUGUAGCGUGUGUUCUGUAGCGUGUGUUCUGUAACGUGUGUUCUGUAGCGUGUGUUCUGUAACGUGUGUUCUGUAACGUGUGUUCUGUAGCGUGUGUUCUGUAGCGUGUGUUCUGUAGCGUGUGUUCUGUAGCGUGUGUUCUGUAGCGUGUGUUCUGUAGCGUGUGUUCUGUAGCGUGUGUUCUGUAGCGUGUGUUCUGUAAGGUGUGUUCUGUAGCGUGUGUUCUGUAAGGUGUGUUCUGUAGCGUGUGUUCUGUAGCGUGUGUUCUGUAAGGUGUGUUCUGUAAGGUGUGUUCUGUAGCGUGUGUUCUGUAAGGUGUGUUCUGUAGCGUGUGUUCUGUAGCGUGUGUUCUGUAAGGUGUGUUCUGUAAGGUGUGUUCUGUAGCGUGUGUUCUGUAGCGUGUGUUCUGUAACGUGUGUUCUGUAAGGUGUGUUCUGUAGCGUGUGUUCUGUAGCGUGUGUUCUGUAAGGUGUGUUCUGUAGCGUGUGUUCUGUAGCGUGUGUUCUGUAAGGUGUGUUCUGUAGCGUGUGUUCUGUAGCGUGUGUUCUGUAGCGUGUGUUCUGUAGCGUGUGUUCUGUAACGUGUGUUCUGUAGCGUGUGUUCUGUAGCGUGUGUUCUGUAGCGUGUGUUCUGUAGCGUGUGUUCUGUAGCGUGUGUUCUGUAGCGUGUGUUCUGUAGCGUGUGUUCUGUAGCGUGUGUGCUGUAAUGUUUUGACUGCUACAGAACAGGCGGAAACCCAGAGUCACUGUCAGCUGUUGACGCUUCAGUCAGAUGCCAUGUCUCACUCUCUGUAAUUUAUAUAGACUUGUGUAAAAAAUAAAAGAGUCUCUUCACUACUGACAUGUUGGUGUACCACGUCUCGUUGACUUCAGUGGUAACUGUGGCGUAAUGGACGUUUAGUAAACGGACAGGGAGCGUUUGCAGUGUAGUUCGGUGGAUGGGGUUGAGGUGGUGAGUUCUGUUGUUGAGGUGGUGAGUUCUGUUGUUGAGGUGGUGAGUUCUGUUGUUGAGGUGGUGAGUUCUGUUGUUGAGGUGGUGAGUUCUGUUGUUAAGGUGGUGAGUUCUGUUGAGGUGGGGGGUGCUUUGUACAAGUACUACGCAGUAUAGAAAGGAAUUUUCAAAACCAAAAUUUGAUAUUACAAUUUACAAUAUACAACAACUCAUAUGUCACAAACAAGGAGGUGGGAAUAUGCAUCGAAAUGCACAGAGUUAAGAGUUUUUUUUAAACGUUUUGUUUUUUUAUAUAUAGAUAUACAUAUAUAUAUACAUAUAUAUAUAUAUCGUCUGAUACCAAAAAGGGUGGUAAAUCACGUUUACAUUACAAGGGUUUACAAAUGUACAAUUACACAGUCAGAAAUGUGUUCACUACUAGGAGACAUUAUAGAUAGUCAACAUCAAAAAACAGAAAAACUAAAGUUUUUUAUAUUUAUAUAUAUGCAAAGUUCUACACCAAGUAUACACGCGCUCUAUAUAUAUAUAUAGAUAGAAGCAGGACUGGAAACGAACCUCCCAUGUUAAAUGACUUGCUGGUAAGCACAUGGCUUGUGUGUUUGUAUAUGGGACGAUGAUUUGGUGACGUACUCAGUCAAAUUAAAUUACGUUCCAUCCCAUACUAGCGGUACGACACAGAACUGUGAUUGCCACAGCAGUAGCAAAACAGUGAAAUGAUUCUAGUUUAUACAAAAGACGAAUGAAGAAAAACAAAAACAGUGAGAAGGAACGAAGGGCAGGGACGUAUCUCACCUCCUCCCUGCAGCAGGGUAGGGACGUAUCUCACCUCCUCCCUGCAGCAGGGUAGGGACGUAUCUCACCUCCUCCCUGCAGCAGGGUAGGGACGUAUCUCACCUCCCCCUGCAGCAGGGUAGGGACGUAUCUCACCUCCCCCUGCAGCAGGGUAGGGACGUAUCUC
This is a long non-coding RNA of Oncorhynchus tshawytscha (Chinook salmon), 3441 nucleotides long. The record is from Ensembl. Lineage: Eukaryota; Metazoa; Chordata; Actinopteri; Salmoniformes; Salmonidae.